This 607-nucleotide long non-coding RNA is filed under the name Chinchilla lanigera (long-tailed chinchilla). Its description in RNAcentral is "lncRNA (ENSCLAG00000028035.1)". The record is from RNAcentral. Lineage: Eukaryota; Metazoa; Chordata; Mammalia; Rodentia; Chinchillidae.
AGGGACUCCCUUGAAAGGGCCAGGCAGUGGCCAAAGAGGCAGAGGAAACCUGGGGGAAUGAUAAUCAUAACUUGAUCAAGUGUUGGUUUAUCAGUCCUGCAUUCAGAUUUCCAAAAAUAUCAGUUAGGCUCCCAGUAUACUGGACACCUUGGGGAAUAAGAGGUAAGUCAUAAGGUUGACCUUUCAAGAUCAAAUGGAAAGGAAUCAUGAGUGAAAUAUUUAUGUGUGGAAAGAACUUGAAAUACCAGAUCCUAAGUUCACCUUCCCUUUCCUCACUAACAUCUCCUCACACAUAACUCAUAGCAAUGAUGGCUAAGGUGAAGUGGAGCCAAAGGGAGUGUGCGCUCACAAUGGCUUAUUUUCGCAUUGCUGGGAGGUAAAGAGAAAGGCAAUGGGAGAAGAGAAGGAACCAGAGAGGGCAGAGUUUCACACAAGAUCCAUGGUUUCUUCUUUCUCUCUUCUGCAGGAUGUUCUCUUUGCCACUCCAUCAACCCAAGGAGUCCCAGAAGAGUGUCCCUUGAAGGGUGAUUCUACAGUACGAAGCUGGUGCUGCUUCUUUCAGGAGCUCCUACAGAGACCUGGGAGUAGAGAUGUGCUACAAUAAAUU